RNAcentral lists this ribosomal RNA (564 nucleotides) under uncultured Streptomyces sp. Its description in RNAcentral is "bacterial SSU rRNA". It matches the Rfam family "Bacterial small subunit ribosomal RNA", at positions 346 to 911 of the family's 1533-position model. Lineage: Bacteria; Bacillati; Actinomycetota; Actinomycetes; Kitasatosporales; Streptomycetaceae. The record is from RNAcentral.
AGGCAGCAGUGGGGAAUAUUGCACAAUGGGCGGAAGCCUGAUGCAGCGACGCCGCGUGAGGGAUGACGGCCUUCGGGUUGUAAACCUCUUUCAGCAGGGAAGAAGCGUAAGUGACGGUACCUGCAGAAGAAGCGCCGGCUAACUACGUGCCAGCAGCCGCGGUAAUACGUAGGGCGCGAGCGUUGUCCGGAAUUAUUGGGCGUAAAGAGCUCGUAGGCGGCUUGUCGCGUCGGGUGUGAAAGACCGGGGCUUAACUCCGGUUCUGCAUUCGAUACGGGCUAGCUAGAGUUCGGUAGGGGAGAUCGGAAUUCCUGGUGUAGCGGUGAAAUGCGCAGAUAUCAGGAGGAACACCGGUGGCGAAGGCGGAUCUCUGGGCCGAUACUGACGCUGAGGAGCGAAAGCGUGGGAGCGAACAGGAUUAGAUACCCCUGGUAGUCCACGCCGUAAACGGUGGGCACUAGGUGUGGGCGACAUUCCAACGUUGUUCCGGUGCCCGGCCAGCUAACGCAUUAAGUGCCCCGCCUGGGGAGUUACGGCCGCCAAGGCUUACACUUCAAAGGAAUU